GAGGGUAUAGCUCAGUGGUAGAGUGCAUGCUUAGCAUGCACAAGGUCCUGGGUUCCAUCCCCAGUACCUCCA
Molecule: transfer RNA, 72 nt
Filed under: Camelus bactrianus (Bactrian camel)
Lineage: Eukaryota; Metazoa; Chordata; Mammalia; Artiodactyla; Camelidae
Also listed under: 2 other names
Rfam family: tRNA
About the family: Transfer RNA (tRNA) molecules are approximately 80 nucleotides in length.
Source: Rfam by way of RNAcentral